CCUACGGGGGGCAGCAGUGGGGAAUAUUGCGCAAUGGGCGAAAGCCUGACGCAGCGACGCCGCGUGAGGGAUGAAGGUCUUCGGAUCGUAAACCUCUGUCAGCAGGGAAGAACGGUCACUGUGCUAAUCAGCAGUGAAUUGACGGUACCUGCAAAGGAAGCACCGGCUAACUCCGUGCCAGCAGCCGCGGUAAUACGGAGGGUGCGAGCGUUAUUCGGAAUUACUGGGCGUAAAGCGCUCGUAGGCGGUAUGUCAAGUCAAGGGUGAAAUCCCCGCGCUCAACGUGGGAACUGCCUUUGAAACUGGCAAACUGGAGUGUGUGAGAGGAUAGGGGAAUUCCAGGUGUAGGAGUGAAAGCCGUAGAUAUCUGGAGGAACAUCAGUGGCGAAGGCGACUAUCUGGCACAUAACUGACGCUGAGGAGCGAAAGCGUGGGUAGCAAACAGGAUUAGAUACCCGAGUAGUC
RNAcentral lists this ribosomal RNA (465 nucleotides) under uncultured bacterium. RNAcentral describes it as "partial 16S ribosomal RNA". It matches the Rfam family "Bacterial small subunit ribosomal RNA", at positions 338 to 795 of the family's 1533-position model. The record is from RNAcentral.